This 144-nucleotide microRNA precursor is filed under the name Gossypium hirsutum (cotton). RNAcentral's name for it is "MIR7502 microRNA precursor family". It matches the Rfam family "MIR7502 microRNA precursor family". The record is from Rfam by way of RNAcentral. Lineage: Eukaryota; Viridiplantae; Streptophyta; Magnoliopsida; Malvales; Malvaceae.
UGUUAAAAAAUUCAUCAAUUUCUUCUGUUAAAAACUGACGUGAUUGAUAAAGUAACCAGACAAUUAUAUGUGACGUGCCACGUGUACCUCAUUUCGACAUAAACGGAUCAAUUUUUAAUAGUAGAAUUCGAAAAAAUUUUAACA